GGGUUAGUAACGCGUGGGAACGUACCCUUUUCUACGGAAUAGCCUCGGGAAACUGAGAGUAAUACCGUAUAAGCCCUUCGGGGGAAAGAUUUAUCGGGAAAGGAUCGGCCCGCGUUAGAUUAGAUAGUUGGUGGGGUAAUGGCCUACCAAGUCUACGAUCUAUAGCUGGUUUUAGAGGAUGAUCAGCAACACUGGGACUGAGACACGGCCCAGACUCCUACGGGAGGCAGCAGUGGGGAAUCUUAGACAAUGGGCGCAAGCCUGAUCUAGCCAUGCCGCGUGUGUGAUGAAGGCCUUAGGGUCGUAAAGCACUUUCGCCAGGGAUGAUAAUGACAGUACCUGGUAAAGAAACCCCGGCUAACUCCGUGCCAGCAGCCGCGGUAAUACGGAGGGGGUUAGCGUUGUUCGGAAUUACUGGGCGUAAAGCGUACGUAGGCGGAUCAGAAAGUAAGGGGUGAAAUCCCGAGGGCUCAACCUCUGG
This 481-nucleotide ribosomal RNA is filed under the name uncultured prokaryote. RNAcentral describes it as "bacterial SSU rRNA". It matches the Rfam family "Bacterial small subunit ribosomal RNA", at positions 104 to 619 of the family's 1533-position model. The record is from RNAcentral.